Brassica napus (rape) is the source of this 647-nucleotide RNA transcript. It is a transcript of the gene named SAL1 phosphatase-like, with no coding region annotated. Lineage: Eukaryota; Viridiplantae; Streptophyta; Magnoliopsida; Brassicales; Brassicaceae. The record is from RefSeq and is a predicted model, not a curated record. The transcript has 4 exons.
AAUCACGUAACUUACAAGUGUUCUUCAAAGAGGAGACGACAUAUACAACUGUCGAAAAAGCUUCUUUUCCAUUACAACGAAUUCACUUUCCAAAUCUCUUAGAGCAUCAUUAUCGGGGUUUUGGUGCUUCUGCUCCUGUCUCAGAACUCUUAAAAAAGUUCAAAAGGCCUUGUUGCAGUCUGAUGUUCAAUCAAAAUCUGAUAAAAGUCCAGUGACUGUUACUGAUUAUGGUUCACAAGCAGUUGUUAGUUUACUCUUACAAAGGGAACUCAGCUCUGAACCCUUUUCAUUGGUGGCUGAAGAGGCGAAUAAAAACUUUAUGACUCAGCGGAUCUACGCAAGGAUGGUUCUCAGGAUAUUCUCGAGCGCAUCACUAAACUCGUCAACGACACUUUGGCUACUGAGGAUAUACUCAAACCCAUUGACUCUACUUUAUCAACAGAUGAUAUUCUCAGAGCCAUUGACUGUGGCAUAAAGGUGCGCGUUCCUUUUCUCUUCUGAUUUACUUCAAAUCGUAUUUCAAAAAAAAAUGUGUUGUGCUGUAAUGCAUUUUUGUGCGAUGUUAUUUUUCUCAACGGAUUGGUGUGGGGUUAUAGAGAAAGUCUUGUUUGGAGCUAGAGCUUACAUAUUUGCAGAGAUUUCUCUCU